GGGGAUAUAGCUCAGUGGUAGAGCACUUAUUUGGCAUGAAUGAGGCUUUGGGUUCAAUCCCCAGCACCA
RNAcentral lists this transfer RNA (69 nucleotides) under Urocitellus parryii (Arctic ground squirrel). RNAcentral describes it as "Spermophilus parryii (Arctic ground squirrel) tRNA". It matches the Rfam family "tRNA". From Rfam's summary of the family: Transfer RNA (tRNA) molecules are approximately 80 nucleotides in length. Lineage: Eukaryota; Metazoa; Chordata; Mammalia; Rodentia; Sciuridae. RNAcentral also lists the same sequence under 2 other names. The record is from Rfam by way of RNAcentral.